GGAGAGGUGACGGAGUGGUUGAACGUGGCGGUCUCGAAAACCGUUGUCCGUCUUUGACGGACCGUGGGUUCGAAUCCCACCCUCUCCG
Molecule: transfer RNA, 88 nt
Filed under: Caldithrix sp.
Lineage: Bacteria; Pseudomonadati; Calditrichota; Calditrichia; Calditrichales; Calditrichaceae
Description: tRNA-Ser
Rfam family: tRNA
About the family: Transfer RNA (tRNA) molecules are approximately 80 nucleotides in length. Their secondary structure includes four short double-helical elements and three loops (D, anti-codon, and T loops). Further hydrogen bonds mediate the characteristic L-shaped molecular structure. tRNAs have two regions of fundamental functional importance: the anti-codon, which is responsible for specific mRNA codon recognition, and the 3' end, to which the tRNAs corresponding amino acid is attached (by aminoacyl-tRNA synthetases). tRNAs cope with the degeneracy of the genetic code in two manners: having more than one tRNA (with a specific anti-codon) for a particular amino acid; and 'wobble' base-pairing, i.e. permitting non-standard base-pairing at the 3rd anti-codon position.
Source: RNAcentral